RNAcentral lists this ribosomal RNA (433 nucleotides) under uncultured bacterium. RNAcentral describes it as "partial 16S ribosomal RNA". It matches the Rfam family "Bacterial small subunit ribosomal RNA", at positions 29 to 507 of the family's 1533-position model. The record is from RNAcentral.
AACGAACGCUGGCGGCAUGCCUAACACAUGCAAGUCGAACGGAAACGUCGGAUCUUGUGGCGCACGUGUGCGUAACGCGGGGGAACCUGCCCUUGGGUACGGAAUAACUCCCCGAAGGGGAUGCUAAGACCGGAUAAUCUCUUCGGACCAAUGAUUUAUCGCCUUUGGAUGGGGCCGCGUUGGUUUAGCUGGUUGGUAGGGUAAAAGCCUACCAAGGCGUGGAUCCAUAGCUGGUCUGAGAGGAUGCUCAGCCAGACUGGAACUACGACACGGCCCAGACUCGGACGGGAGGCAGCAGAGUGGUAUAUUGUAGAAUGGACGCAAGCCUGAUCCCGCCAUGCCGCGUAAGUGAUGAAGGGGUUAGGGUAGUAAAGCUCUUUGACACGGGAUGAUAGUGACAGUACCGGGAGAAUAAGCUCCGGCUAACUCCGUG